UACGUAGGGGGCUAGCGUUGUCCGGAAUCAUUGGGCGUAAAGCGCGCGUAGGCGGUCAGGAAAGUCCGGUGUGAAAGUCAUAGGCCCAACCUAUGGAUGCCGCUGGAAACUGCCUGACUUGAGUCCGGAAGGGGCGAGUGGAAUUCCUGGUGUAGCGGUGAAAUGCGCAGAUAUCAGGAAGAACACCAAUGGCGAAGGCAGCUCUCUGGGACGGUACUGACGCUGAGACGCGAAAGCGUGGGGAGCGAACAGG
This 253-nucleotide ribosomal RNA is filed under the name uncultured bacterium. RNAcentral describes it as "partial 16S ribosomal RNA". It matches the Rfam family "Bacterial small subunit ribosomal RNA", at positions 524 to 776 of the family's 1533-position model. The record is from RNAcentral.